AGAGUUUGAUCCUGGCUCAGGAUGAACGCUGGCGGCGUGCUUAACACAUGCAAGUCGAACGAACCUUUCGGGUUAGUGGCGGACGGGUGAGUAACGCGUGAGAAUCUGCCCUCAGGAGGGGGAUAACGGCUGGAAACGGCCGCUAAUACCCCAUAUGCCGAGAGGUGAAAUGAAUUUCGCCUGAGGAUGAGCUCGCGUCUGAUUAGCUAGUUGGUGGGGUAAGAGCCUACCAAGGCUUCGAUCAGUAGCUGGUCUGAGAGGAUGAUCAGCCACACUGGGACUGAGACACGGCCCAGACUCCUACGGGAGGCAGCAGUGGGGAAUUUUCCGCAAUGGGCGAAAGCCUGACGGAGCAACGCCGCGUGAGGGAUGAAGGCCUCUGGGCUGUAAACCUCUUUUAUCAAGGAAGAAGAUCUGACGGUACUUGAUGAAUAAGCCACGGCUAAUUCCGUGCCAGCAGCCGCGGUAAUACGGGAGUGGCAAGCGUUAUCCGGAAUUAUUGGGCGUAAAGCGUCCGCAGGCGGCCUUUUAAGUCUGUCGUUAAAGCGUGGAGCUUAACUCCAUUUAAGCGAUGGAAACUGGAAGGCUAGAGUGUGGUAGGGGCAGAGGGAAUUCCCGGUGUAGCGGUGAAAUGCGUAGAUAUCGGGAAGAACACCAGUGGCGAAGGCGCUCUGCUGGGCCAUAACUGACGCUCAUGGACGAAAGCCAGGGGAGCGAAAGGGAUUAGAUACCCCUGUAGUCCUGGCCGUAAACGAUGAACACUAGGUGUCGGGGGAAUCGACCCCCUCGGUGUCGUAGCCAACGCGUUAAGUGUUCCGCCUGGGGAGUACGCACGCAAGUGUGAAACUCAAAGGAAUUGACGG
Molecule: ribosomal RNA, 863 nt
Filed under: uncultured cyanobacterium
Lineage: Bacteria; Bacillati; Cyanobacteriota
Description: bacterial SSU rRNA
Rfam family: Bacterial small subunit ribosomal RNA
Source: RNAcentral